Molecule: transfer RNA, 67 nt
Filed under: Acinetobacter baumannii 1042969-1197
Lineage: Bacteria; Pseudomonadati; Pseudomonadota; Gammaproteobacteria; Moraxellales; Moraxellaceae
Description: partial tRNA-Glu
Rfam family: tRNA
About the family: Transfer RNA (tRNA) molecules are approximately 80 nucleotides in length. Their secondary structure includes four short double-helical elements and three loops (D, anti-codon, and T loops).
Source: RNAcentral
GUCUAGCGGCCUAGGACAUCGCCCUUUCACGGCGGUAACCGGGGUUCGAAUCCCCGUAGGGACGCCA